Molecule: ribosomal RNA, 371 nt
Filed under: uncultured organism
Description: bacterial SSU rRNA
Rfam family: Bacterial small subunit ribosomal RNA
Source: RNAcentral
CGUAGGGUGCAAGCGUUAAUCGGAAUUACUGGGCGUAAAGCGUGCGCAGGCGGUUUUGUAAGUCUGUCGUGAAAUCCCCCGGGCUCAACCUGGGAAUUGCGAUGGAGACUGCAAGGCUAGAAUCUGGCAGAGGGGGGUAGAAUUCCACGUGUAGCAGUGAAAUGCGUAGAGAUGUGGAGGAACACCGAUGGCGAAGGCAGCCCCCUGGGUCAAGAUUGACGCUCAUGCACGAAAGCGUGGGGAGCAAACAGGAUUAGAUACCCUGGUAGUCCACGCCCUAAACGAUGUCUACUAGUUGUCGGGUUUUAAUUAACUUGGUAACGCAGCUAACGCGUGAAGUAGACCGCCUGGGGAGUACGGUCGCAAGAUUA